UACGUAGGGGCAAGCGUUGUCCGGAAUGAUUGGGCGUAAAGAGCGUGCAGGUGGUUGAUUAAGUCUGAUGUGAAAGCCCACGGCUUAACCGUGGAGGGUCAUUGGAAACUGGUCGACUUGAGUGCAGAAGAGGGAAGUGGAAUUCCAUGUGUAGCGGUGAAAUGCGUAGAGAUAUGGAGGAACACCAGUGGCGAAGGCGGCUUCCUGGUCUGUAACUGACACUGAGGCGCGAAAGCGUGGGGAGCAAACAGGAUUAGAUA
Molecule: ribosomal RNA, 260 nt
Filed under: uncultured prokaryote
Description: partial 16S ribosomal RNA
Rfam family: Bacterial small subunit ribosomal RNA
Source: RNAcentral